GAAAAUAGUAAAAAUAAAGAAAAACCCUUGAAUGAGUAGGUGUGUCCAAACCUUUGACUGUAUGUAUUGUAUGUCAAAGUGUUACAAAUACAUACGUCUAAAACAAUGUAUUUUGAAAGCACUGUUUGUAUUUAUGGGUGUCCCUAACCUUGCCAACAGACAAAGAGCUGUGAGUGGUUCACCAAUCAGGGCCUUGAUAGGCUCGGCAAGGGGUGAAGUGUAAUGAAACAAGUUUUUUGGGAGAACGUCCCAUUGGGACCAUCAGUACGGAAAAAGAAAUGUAUGCAUUCACUACUGUAAGUCGCUCUGGAUAAGCUCGUCUGCUAAAUGACUAAAAUGUAAAUGUAAACCAGGCAACUUCUUAAACGCUUCUUUAGGGACGUCACCAAAACAAGCCGGAAAAUAGACAAAAACCUUCAGGGGACCAUGACAGAAUGUCCUAUGUUUUAAACGUACUUGGACACAUGAAUGUUCUUGCAACGUUCCCAUGAAACGUGUCUAGAACAUUAAUAUAUUUCUGAGAAAAUGGUAAGCAUGUUCUGGGUACGUUUUGUUUGACAUUAAGGAAAUGUUCUCCUAACUCUCACUCCAAAACAUGCUAAAUAGGUUCUAAGGAGGUUUUUGUUAACAUACAUAGAAUGUUCCCCCAACUAACGAAAAACUGGACACUCAAACAUCAGGGGAACAUUACUGGUAACAAUGCAAAAAUGUUCGCUGUCCCUAGAAUUGUUAGCUGGGUUUGUUUUCUCAGACAUGUUUGUGUCAUCACGGGCAAUGUGGAAUCCAGACUGUGAUUGAUUUUGCAAAAUGGUUUAAACUACAACUCUACCAAAGGACAAGACCAGACAACAUGGAGAGCAUCCCAACGCUGAAAUGGUUAAGAAAUCUACAAAUUAAAGACCAAUUAUUCAGUCUGCAGCUGUUUAAACACUUUAGUCUGGUAAAAGCAUCCGAUCUAAGAACAAUGGUACUCUGAAAGAUACAUUCUCAAGAACAUUUCCGAAUGGUACUCUGACAUAUCCAUUAUAACAAGCUACAACUACGAAAGUCUUUGAUCUCUGGUGGACAAACCAGAGACUUUCUGUCAACUGACUAUCCAGCAGACGGACCGGCGAUCGCAGAGGGACAACAAAGGCAUACACUUGUAAAUAUGUACAUUUCAAUAUGCAAUUUCUUUUCGAAUGAGUGGUUGUUCAUGUUCAAAGUAUUAGCAUUUCCAUGAGUGUAGUUAUCGACUGUAUGGACGUGGGUCCACUCUGAGUUUCCCGCUCUUGAGCUGGCCCCACCCCUGUCCUUUGUCUACCAAGCCCAACAAGCUAGCUGACGCACCCCCGGUUCCAUCGACGACUGCACCAACAACAAACAAGGCCUCCCUGAAGCUUCCAAUUUUGGUGUCUGCAUUCUGUGAAGGUUGACGCUGGAGACAGGAAGCAGAUACAGGGAGAAUAUUUAAUAAAUAAUGGACAUAAAACAGGACAGGAACAGCAUCUGGACAGGGGACAAAGUAACAACAUCAAUGCUGACAAAGGAAUGCAACAGAGGAAACAGACAGAUAAAGGGGAGGCAAUCAAAUAAUGAUUUCAGGGAAGGCUGUGUUGGAAGGUCUGGGCUCCCACUGGAGAGGAACUCCUCCUCCAGCAUUGACAGAGAAGGUGGGAGCGUUUCAGAGUGCUUAUUGUAGCUGUAGCACUCCUAAUCAAAAGUUCCUAGGGACCCACAUAGUGUGCAGGUUCUUGUUCCAGCCCAGCACUGAGUUAGCGAAUCAAGGGCUUAGCGAAAAGUUGAUUGAAUCAGGACUGGGGCAAAGGAUGCUGAUUGUAAAACCUAUAAGUUCCUGAAAGAAACCUGCAGAGAAAGGGAGAAGAGACAGGAUGUCACCUCCACAGCAAGCAGAGUUGCAAUUGGGUGAAAAGGAAAUAUUAAAGAACCUGAGAGCCCAGACAGUGUGGAGGGUAAUUGAUUCAUAAUGGAUUUGUAAGGAAGACCGCCGC
RNAcentral lists this long non-coding RNA (1991 nucleotides) under Salmo salar (Atlantic salmon). Its description in RNAcentral is "lncRNA (ENSSSAG00000119618.1)". Lineage: Eukaryota; Metazoa; Chordata; Actinopteri; Salmoniformes; Salmonidae. The record is from RNAcentral.